ACCCAUUGGUGGUGUUAAGUACACCAAUUGGACGUUGUAAUUCGAUGGUUGUCUUUAUUGGGCGGGCUGUACAGUAGGAAUAGUGUCCACAGGCUUUACAAGACGCUAAUAUCUGUAUGCUUUGCAUAUACAGGUCAGGUUGCAGAGAUGCAGGGGAAUGGGUAGUUUUGGGGUAGAGCAAGUGAACUGAACUUCUGGGUUAGUGUGGCCUAAAUUGCUAUUCUUUAAAUGCACCUAACUUUAAUGAAAUAUUUGACAUAUUUUUGAGAAAACAGUUACAGUGUUUGAAUGUAUGAACGUGUGGCACUCGUCAGAGCUAUUGGAGUUAUUUUCUCGUAUUCAUUAUCUAUUCAAAAGGAAAUGUGGGAGACUGGUGAGUAGACUUCUGUAUCUUUAUCUGGUGAAAUGUAAUAAUUUCCUGAGUAUAUUUUCCAAAUGUUUUUGAAAUAGCUCGAUGCAACGUUGAAUUUGAUGAUGUGUUAGGCCUAUGUUGUAAAAUUACUUCCCUUGUGUUGAUCAUAUUGUAAUUUGACUGAUAGGAUUAAAUGAGAACCAUGCUAAAUAUUUUACAACCGAAAUGUAUCGAAAAUGUAGAUGAAUAUGUCAAGGAGGAGCCUGCCAAGCCAACUGAGAUUGCACAUAGUUUCGAAUCUCAAAGUUAUUUUCAGUAUUUGGAUGCACACUAUUUAGGCAACUUGCGCUGUAAAACAAUUCCUAUAGCCACAAUGAAGUUUAGCCUAUAUUUGCAUGCCAUGUUGAUAUCAAAUAGGAUGAUGAUGAUGAUGAUUAUUAUUAUUGUUGUUAUGAUAUUAUUGUGUUGUUACUGAAUAAUACAUACCGUAUUUGUUUCCCCCUCAGUUAUCAUUUGGUAGGAUUUAUUUUAUGAAUCUGAAAUCAGGUUAGCCACUGACUAACGUACAUUGCGCCUAUCCCAAUUCCACUGUGCGUGUGACAGCGGCUAACCUGGUUUUGGGGAGACUUCUCUACUGCCGCCGCGGGAAAGGCCUUGCCCAGACACACUUUACAAAAUGCAACAUCUCGUGCUAUCUGACACCUGUUAUGUGGGAAUAAUUAUUUGCUUCGGCAUUACUGCCCUCCCUGUGGCCUUUCUGAGUACUACUGUAUGUAGUACACUAUCUCCAGGCUAUACAGUCAGAGGCCUUUACAUUAGACCUACUAUGGAGUUGCCGUCCUAUAGGCCUGGCAUGCCAUCUACUGGGACUCUAGGCUGCUGGUGACUAUGGGAACUGCAGGGAUUCCGGGGCUUAUCUAUCUCCAGCCAAGCCAGACGUGCCCUGAUCUUGUCACCAUAAUCCAAUUCCACAUAAUUCAUCUUAAUAUCAGAACUGUCUAGUCCUUUCAAGUAGCUCUGACAAACAUAUGUACCUCAGCUACUCCCUCAACCCAUAGAGGUGAGAGUUAAAACAGGAAUGUAGAGAAAUGCCGAUUUAGGCAAAGUCAUUAGACAACUAUUGAAGGGUGGAAAAAGUAGAUAAAUAUAGAGGUGCAGAUACAGUAUGUAAAGGGAAGAGGAAUCUCUUUAUGUGGCAGCAAGGACAAAUAUUUACAGAGCUGUGGAGCAGCUAAGCAGAGUUUGUUUCAGCAUUGUGGCGGUUCAUGGGACUCCGUCAGACAGCCAUCAUGUUUAUUCUCACAGAUAUACACAGAGAGAGGGAGAAGGGUGGGACUGGGUCAUCUGACGUGGGUUCAGAGAGGAGGACUGUGUAACAUGAAUAGAGUCCAGAGUCGGGGUCAGCGCACUGUUUAUGAUAUCACUUACUGUAGUAGUGAUAUCACUAACAAGCUUCAUUACAGAAAGGCAAACUGAAUAGACAUUUGACUUUUCAUCACUAUCUACUCUGCUAAAUAUACUAUCAGGGCGGUCGGUAGCCUAACGGUUAAGUGUGUUGGGCCAGUACCCGAAAGGUCGCAGGUUCGAAUCUCCGAGCCAACUAGGUGAAGAAUCUGUUGAUGUGUCCUUGAGCAAAGCACUUAACCCUAAUUGCUCUGGAUAAGAGUGUCUGCUAAUUGAAUAAAAAACACGAUUGUACGGUC
Salmo salar (Atlantic salmon) is the source of this 2055-nucleotide non-coding RNA. Lineage: Eukaryota; Metazoa; Chordata; Actinopteri; Salmoniformes; Salmonidae. The record is from RefSeq and is a predicted model, not a curated record.